Molecule: ribosomal RNA, 200 nt
Filed under: uncultured bacterium
Lineage: Bacteria
Description: partial 16S ribosomal RNA
Rfam family: Bacterial small subunit ribosomal RNA
Source: RNAcentral
UACGGAAGGUGCAAGCAUUGUUCGGAUUGACUGGGCGUAAAGAGCACGUAGGUGGGUAUAUAAGUCGGAUGUGAAAUCCCCAGGCUCAACCUGGGAACUGCAUUCGAAACUGUAAAUCUUGAAUGUUUGAGAGGUUGGCGGAAUUCCAGGUGUAGGAGUGAAAUCCGUAGAUAUCUGGAGGAACACCGGAGGCGAAGGCG